Molecule: long non-coding RNA, 932 nt
Organism: Arabidopsis lyrata subsp. lyrata
Lineage: Eukaryota; Viridiplantae; Streptophyta; Magnoliopsida; Brassicales; Brassicaceae
Exons: 2
Source: RefSeq, a predicted model, not a curated record
UCUUUUUUGUUGAUUUGGAUUCAAAUUCGAAUUAUCUUUCAUUUUUAACAGAGACAAAUUUCUCAAGAUACAUAUGAAGUAGUAUCUAGUUCGGUUACUAUUUUUUCCAUCUUGUCGGAGCUCUUGAGCUCUCGGUAUUUCAGAGAAGGAUAUGGUGCUUUUGAGACUUCACUUUCCUAGUAUUCUGAGUUUCAAUGUCUUCGGAGUCGUCUUCGAUCAACAACAAAAGCACCAGAUUUCACUUGAAUAUGCAUCUUGGUUCGAAAGGCUUCAGUAAUCGCGGAAGCCAAUUGAAUUUUUUUAGAAGAUGAGGUAAUGAGUUUUCGUUUCUUUCUUCAAUAAUUAUUUAUAGAGAUGUUUAGUCGGCUGCGGUUUAGGUUUGAUAGGAAAGAACUUUAGAAUAUCUUUAAGAUAUUCGAAUUUAGUGUGCAUAAUUGUAGAUUUCACGUAGUUUUGGUUGGAAUAGUUAUGUUAUUAACCCGUUUAGUUAUGGAAAAUUCAUUAAUUAUAUUGUUUUUUGUAUUGGAAUAUGCUCCUAUAAAUCCGUUAAAAAUAUAUAUGGAAUGUUAGUUUUGAUUUUGUCAACGGAAUAUACUCCUAUUAACCCGAUUAUAAUCAAUAUGGUAGGUAAUUAAAGAAUAUUGCAUUAACUUUAUUUGCGUCAAGGUCCGUACCAUAAGUCCAAGAUCCGCGUAUAUAACCGCCCAAAUGCAUCCAGGAUCCGCGUGUUUAUCCGACACCAAACCCAGGAUCCGCGUUUUUUUGUUUUUUUUUUCUAUUCAAAUUGUCAAUUUUAUCCUUUCACGAUAUUUUUCAUUAAUUCUUUGAAUGCAAAAUUCCUAAUGGCAUUCCCUUGUAAUUUUUUACACUUUAUAAGGUUUAUUAUUAGGUAAUGCUUCCCAAUUAAUAGUAUAAAUUAUUUUGUAUAAUAA